Non-coding RNA from Arachis ipaensis, 339 nucleotides. Lineage: Eukaryota; Viridiplantae; Streptophyta; Magnoliopsida; Fabales; Fabaceae. The record is from RefSeq and is a predicted model, not a curated record.
UCUUCUUAUUGAUGGUGUCUUGGCACAUCCUGAUGAACUAUUUCGGUUAAAAACCAUAGGGGCCAAGGCAGAUGUAUUUCACAUACUUUCCAGAACAUGGAAGACACCUGCAGAAAGAUGCUUCAUGUGGCUAGGCUUAUGUGCAACAAUUAGAGUCAAGUAGAUUAAAGCUUACACAACUUGAACAAGACCUUUAAAGGGCUCGUUCUCAGGGACUAUUCAUGGAUUGUGGUGGUGUUGGAGGCAAUCUAAGCUCUGGUGAGUUUUUACCAAUUCUAAUUUCUUUGAAAAAAAAUAAUGUUGAAGUGCAAUUUCAUGUUAUAAUAAUUUUUUAAAAUG